UACGAAGGGGGCUAGCGUUGUUCGGAAUCACUGGGCGUAAAGCGCACGUAGGCGGACGUUUAAGUCAGGGGUGAAAUCCCAGGGCUCAACCCUGGAACUGCCCUUGAUACUGGGCGUCUCGAGUCCGGGAGAGGUGAGUGGAACUCCGAGUGUAGAGGUGAAAUUCGUAGAUAUUCGGAAGAACACCAGUGGCGAAGGCGGCUCACUGGCCCGGUACUGACGCUGAGGUGCGAAAGCGUGGGGAGCAAACAGG
This 253-nucleotide ribosomal RNA is filed under the name uncultured bacterium. RNAcentral describes it as "partial 16S ribosomal RNA". It matches the Rfam family "Bacterial small subunit ribosomal RNA", at positions 524 to 776 of the family's 1533-position model. The record is from RNAcentral.